Molecule: ribosomal RNA, 408 nt
Filed under: uncultured fungus
Lineage: Eukaryota; Fungi
Description: SSU rRNA
Rfam family: Eukaryotic small subunit ribosomal RNA
Source: RNAcentral
GCAGGCAAACGCUUGAAUACGUUAGCAUGGAAUAAUGGAAUAGGACUUUGGUUCUAUUUUGUUGGUUUCUAGGACCGAAGUAAUGAUUAAUAGGGACAGUUAGGGGCAUUAGUAUUUAGUUGUCAGAGGUGAAAUUCUUGGAUUUACGAAAGACUAACUUCUGCGAAAGCAUUUGCCAAGGAUGUUUUCAUUAAUCAAGAACGAAAGUUAGGGGAUCGAAGACGAUCAGAUACCGUCGUAGUCUUAACCAUAAACUAUGCCGACUAGGGAUCGGACGAUGUUAAUUUAUAAUUGACUCGUUCGGCACCUUACGAGAAAUCAAAGUUUUUGGGUUCCGGGGGGAGUAUGGUCGCAAGGCUGAAACUUAAAGGAAUUGACGGAAGGGCACCACCAGGAGUGGAGCCUGCG